CCUUCGGGUCGUAAAGCUCAAUAGUAUGGGAAGAAAGAAAUGACGGUACCAUACGAAAAGCCCCGGCUAACUACGUGCCAGCAGCCGCGGUAAUACGUAGGGGGGCGAGCGUUGUCCGGAAUUACUGGGCGUAAAGAGCACGUAGGCGGCUAUAUAAGUCAGAUGUAAAAAACCUGGGCUUAACCGAGGGGAUGCAACUGAAACUAUAUAGCUUGAGUCAAGGAGAGGAGAGCGGAAUUCCUGGUGUAGCGGUGAAAUGCGUAGAGAUCGGGAGGAACACCAGUGGCGAAGGCGGCUUACUGGGCUUUAACUGACGCUGAGGCACGAAAGCAUGGGUAGCAAACAGGAUU
This 350-nucleotide ribosomal RNA is filed under the name uncultured bacterium. RNAcentral describes it as "bacterial SSU rRNA". It matches the Rfam family "Bacterial small subunit ribosomal RNA", at positions 415 to 779 of the family's 1533-position model. The record is from RNAcentral.